GAGGAAUAUUGGUCAAUGGGCGCAAGCCUGAACCAGCCAUGUCGCGUGCAGGACGACUGCCCUAUGGGUUGUAAACUGCUUUUGUAUGGGAAGAAACGACGGCACGAGUGCUGUUUUGCCGGUACCAUACGAAUAAGGAUCGGCUAACUCCGUGCCAGCAGCCGCGGUAAUACGGAGGAUCCGAGCGUUAUCCGGAUUUAUUGGGUUUAAAGGGUGCGUAGGCGGGAUAUUAAGUCAGUGGUGAAAGUUUGACGCACAACGUUAAAAUUGCCAUUGAUACUGGUUUUCUUGAGUACAGUUGAGGUAGGCGGAAUGUGGUGUGUAGCGGUGAAAUGCAUAGAUAUACCACAGAACACCGACUGCGAAGGCAGCUUACUAAGUUGUAACUGACGCUGAAGCACGAAAGCAUGGGGAUCAAAC
Molecule: ribosomal RNA, 420 nt
Filed under: uncultured bacterium
Lineage: Bacteria
Description: bacterial SSU rRNA
Rfam family: Bacterial small subunit ribosomal RNA
Source: RNAcentral